CGUUUAAAAGUUAUAUACGGCUACGGAAUCGGGUGCGAAUCCCGAGCAACCGCCAUUACCGUGUUGGAUGAAUUUUUCGCCUAUACCAUUGAAUGAUGCUUGUCAAAGCAAAUUCGAGAAGGUGCGAAAAUGCGCUUUUGCUUUAUCCUGAGUCGGGAGACGGGCCGUAUGUAUGAAUUUAGG
RNAcentral lists this non-coding RNA (183 nucleotides) under Clostridiales bacterium. The record is from RNAcentral. Lineage: Bacteria; Bacillati; Bacillota; Clostridia; Eubacteriales.